Molecule: ribosomal RNA, 274 nt
Filed under: uncultured bacterium
Lineage: Bacteria
Description: partial 16S ribosomal RNA
Rfam family: Bacterial small subunit ribosomal RNA
Source: RNAcentral
AUACGGAGGGUGCGAGCGUUACUCGGAGUCACUGGGCGUAAAGCGUCCGUAGGCGGUCGGGUAAGUCGGGUGUGAAAGCCCCGGGCUCAACCUGGGAAGUGCACCCGAUACUGCUCGACUCGAGUGCGGGAGAGGAUGGCGGAAUUCCCGGUGUAGCGGUGAAAUGCGUAGAGAUCGGGAGGAACACCAGUGGCGAAGGCGGCCAUCUGGCCCGCAACUGACACUGAGGGACGAAAGCGUGGGGAGCAAACAGGAUUAGAAACCCUAGUAGUCC